AUGACUGACACUAGUCUAGAUGGUGUAGUCUCACCUCUCUGGGGACCCUCCCUUCCCCUCCUGAUUACUGACACUAGUCUAGAUGGUGUAGUCUCACCUCUCUGGGGACACUCCCCUCCCCUCCUGAUGACUGACACUAGUCUAGAUGGUGUAGUCUCACCUCUCUGGGGACCCUCCCCUCCCCUCCUGAUGAAUCAAAUCUAUUACAUUUCGUAUUUCUUUACUAACUCAGGAUAUGUUCAUGCUCUGAAUACACUUACCGACCCCUACUGCGGUAUCACCAUGGUUACACUGACCGACCCAAACUCAGACGAGGUUCUACUGCGGUAUCACCAUGGUUACACUGACCGACACAAACUCAGACGAGGUUCUACUGCAGUAUUACCAUGGUUACACUGACCGACCCAAACACAGUCUAGGUUCUACUGCAGUAUUACCAUGGUUACACUGACCGACCCAAACUCAGACUAGGUUCUACUGCAGUAUUACCAUGGUUACACUGACCGACCCAAACUCAGACGAGGUUCUACUGCCGUAUUACCAUGGUUACACUCCUCAAUACCGGUAACAGCCUUGCUUGUGUACAUCUUCAGGUGAUUUCUUUGUUGUUUUCAACUGUCUACAUAUUUAAAAAAAAUACUUUAACAGAAAUCAGUUAUUUUAUGCAUCGAUUUGGACUCUAAAUGAUAAAUGUUUAAUUGUUGUAGUGAAGCGUUUAGUUUUGCUGAAAUCUUUUUCUGUCUACAUUUUGCUUCAGGUCUGUGAUUUAAAAAAAUAUAUUUUUUUGAUUGAUUUGUGUCUAAAAAAUACUGAUAAUUAAAAAUCUUUAAAGAG
This is a long non-coding RNA of Oncorhynchus keta (chum salmon), 834 nucleotides long. RefSeq lists it as uncharacterized. The record is from RefSeq and is a predicted model, not a curated record. Lineage: Eukaryota; Metazoa; Chordata; Actinopteri; Salmoniformes; Salmonidae. The transcript is spliced from 2 exons.